AUUACAUUGAUAUUGAAUUUUGAGUUCAAUAGGUAGUUUUUUCUGACCCUGGAAGCCCGUGUGAUUACUGCCUCUAGAGUCACAGGAAAACCACCUUGGACCUCUCGCCACUCUCCUAUGCUGUGAGAGGAGAAGAGAGGAGACUUGGGGUGAACUGAGGUAAGGAUCAAAGCCUAUCAGGUUUCAGUCUUGAAAGGAAAGAGGUCCAAGCUUUCUCCUCCCAACUGGUGGAAGACCAUCUAAAGAAGAGCAGAAACCUUAACACCCUUCCCCAUCUGCUGGUCAUGUGUGAGCUGCCCCUUGCCCCAGCAUCUUGCCAGAAUCCCUCACCUUGCCAGGUACCUGAGUGUCUACCCAGGACCUGCCUGCUAGUUAUCAGCCCCCACAGGGACCCCAUAAUAGAUAUAGCCAAUUACAGCAGCACCAUAUCCUAAUACAAUGCCCAGGAAUGCAGAGUCAGGAUCAAAUCUAGUCACAAGGCCAUAUUCCUGCAGGUGCUAGCCAGUCUUUCUAAUAAUUAAAAAAAAAAAAAAAAGGAAUGUAAUAACAUGGUUUGUUUUUUUUCCCCCAAAAAAUAAAAGAAUAAGACAAGCAAAACAGAAGAGCUGGUAAGAACUUAUAUGGCUAAUAAUAGUUGCUUGUGAGCAAGCCUUUCUUACUGCUUUCUUAGAUUGUUUUUCUCUUCAUUUUCACUUAAUGGUGAGGACCUAAGAAAUUCCUCAAUUUGAAACAAAUCCUACUUACAGCUACCCUGUACUCUGUGACAGUCCUUCUAGUAUUAACGGACAAAAGAAAAAGCGCCUGUUUUACCCACGCUCAAGUUGGAUUUCAUUAUAGCAGACAGACCGGAAUUUGGCAGUAAAAUAAAACCUUUUCUAAAGAGCAAAGUUUGCCUACCUCUGUUGGGAAAACCUAGGGAGUCCAAUGUACUGUUAAUGUGUGAAGACACCGUGGCAGGAUCCCCAUGACUCACCCAAUUUGCAUCCUGCAUUCGGCAUCUGGACACCCCUCCCAAGUCCGCAUGUGGACUGCAGUGCGACGGUGCCCUCAUUUGUAACUUGACCUGAUGCUUGGUAAAAGUUCACAAGACUUUGUCCAAGGUGGAUCAUCUUAAACAACCCAGAGGCCCUGAGAGAAUCACCUAUCCAAUAUGCAGCUGAGAUUGUGUUAACUACAGCAGGUGUCACUAAACUUUUCAUGACCAAAACAGUGGGCAACAUGAUGAGAAACUGGAUGCCAGAUUGGACUCCGGUCUUCAGUCCUCUUUUCUUCCCGGUAAGAAUAGUGUAUGCUGCACACCUGCUCAGCCGCUCUUAGGCACAUCCUUUUCUCAUAAAUACCGUAAGGAAAGGCAUUUCCCAAAUGCUCAUAUGCUGCUGGUGGAGAAAUUAAAGGAAGGAAUAAAACUCUUUGGUAGUAUUCAGCAAGGUGAAGAAGACAUUGGUACAGUCCUUCCAAGACCGUGAUCAGAUGUAUCAAAAGAUAUGUAAGUGUAUUUUUGGUAAAGAUUUGCUUGUUGGACUGGGAUUACACAUCUCUCUCUCUAGAUUAUACCAUCUGCAUGGGGAAAUUUUAAUUUUACUUCUUUGUUGGACAACAUAUUUUAUUUCUAUUUCAUUCUUGCCUGGUGUCACUAACAUAGAUCAUUGCACACAGCACACAGCACCUAGUCAGCCAGAAUAUGAAGGGGAAUUAGCGGUGCAGACCUGUGGGCUCUUUCCCAAUAACCAGACUGUAACACUGACAUGGGAACUUCAUUCCCUGAUGUUCUAAAUUGGUCUGUUUUGUAGUACUGCCACCCUUGCCAAACAAAGAUAAAACCAAAUUGGAGCUUUCUGUGUGAAGAGGAGGAAGAAGUCAAAAAAAAAACAUAGCUUUUACCCCCAAAAUAACUGAUGCAAAUAUCAAAUAUCCAAUUCUAUAAUUAGUUUAAAUAGUCUAAAAAUUGCUAACAAGAACUCUCCACUAGGUUUGAGCUUCAUUUUUCUUUGAUCUUGCCCGUUCUCAUCAUUUAAAAACAAAAAGACCAAAAGGUAGAAGGGGAAAAGAAGCAUCAGCAGAUUUGGAAGUCAACAAAUUAAUUAGUUCCUGAAUCACAAAAGAAGGACAUAUUGUGAAACCCGGUGUUGUAGAGGUCCUAAGCAUAUAAGAAUUUGAACAGCUGUGAGGACUGAUGAGUGUGGACAAAGUAAAGCUCUUAACUGCCCACUUGAGACUUCAGCCUAAACCAGGCAAUUUUCAUAGUGGGUUCAAGAGAGUGAAGUAUUGCUCUGAACAAUUUAUUUUUGGAAAAAUCACAUACAAAGAGAAGUGGUAUGUAGAGAAAGAAGUGUUAGACAAUUAAAAUUUCCUUUCUCUGCUUCUCUUGUAAGAGCAGUUCAUAAAUGGAUGGACCAUCCAGAAAAGCAUGAAUACCACACUUCAUAUAUCAGGUUUUUACCAUAGAAACACAGCUAAAGAGGGUGGACUGAAUAAAGAAAUGAACUUUCAUUCAAGUCAGCUACUUUGUUAUCAUAAAGAAAUCUACAAGAGAAAAAAGUCUGUGCAGACAAGUUUACAGUAUUUGAAAUGAAUGGCUAGUUUUUAACUUUUCCAAAAUGUAAAUAACUUUGUUGAACAUAUUUCCAUUUUCCAGCUAUGGAGAGAGACAGUCUGGCUGGUCGGAACCUUGUCUGUUAUUGGUGCAGAAGUCAUUUAAAGGCACCUUUUGGCACAGGCCUCAGCGGGUCUGGCUCCUUGAGACUCACAUAAUUGUAUUUAUAACUCCAUUAGUGACUGAAUCCAGGCAUCACUGGGCUCAGUUACACCGCUGUAUGCGACUCGGAGGCUCAUUUUGUGUCAUGUCUGCAAACCCGUCGGUUGUUGACACCUUGUUAGAGGCAUUGAAGUUUAGUUUCACAGUUCUUCAUUUCCCCUCCCAGGGAGCAGGCAAUCUACCAGACCCUCCCAGAUCAGUGCUUUGCUGGGAAGUAGUGAAUUCCAGAGUAUUAUUAACAUGUCAGACUGGAAACCAGUUCAGUAGUUUUAUUUCUUCCAAGACCCUUAAUCAACCCUGUGAUAUAAACUUAGCAUUUGAGAAGUUUUUGUAGUUGACAGCUGACCUGGAAAUGUGAAGAUAUGCAAAUGUCAGCAAGGUGUCUCUGUCUCUUAAGGUGCCCAUGAGGUUCCUACCAAUGAAGAGAUUAGCGGGGCAAAGCCGCAUCUAGUAGGUCAGACUGUCCUUACUGGAGCUUCUGGAUUCAUUACCUCUCCACCCCCAGCUCCUCUCUCAGUCAUCCUGGUGAUAAAUAGUAACAUAGAGGACCUUUUUCUUCUCGUCCUCCCUUCUCUGAUAUGAUGGUUCACGUUAGCCAGAGCUCAAACUCAUUCUUGCGUAUUAUGUCUCUAGAGUACUUGUUCAUGAAUAUCUUCUUCAUGCUAUAAUCUGGGAAAGACUGGUUUAAUCUCAAGUUUUUAUAUAGAGUGGUAGCUAAAGCCAUUAUUUUACAUUCCAUCUCAUAUAACUUUCUAUUUUUCAAUAUUUUCUUAAAUAUACUAAGAAUCACCAUUGUAUCUCCUUUUCUGAAAGCUUAUUCAUAGACUUCUGUGGGCUGUUGUUUUUGUUUUUGUUUUAAUGCUUUGUGUGAAAUUCAGUAGCACUGGGUGAGCAAAAUGCAAAUGAGCCCAAUUUCCCACAGCAAUUUGGCCUUCUUCUCCAUGGAGUAAGCAACCUUCUACCACCCUUAAGCUGUUUUGUAGGCUGUUUGCCUAAAUUCUACCUGUGCAGACACCAAGGGGUUCUUCUGUCUUUGAAGCUGUUAAGAAUGUCUUAAAAGAGAAUGAGUACUUCUCCCCAUAUAUAGUGUGAGCUGGCAGUGUUUUAUAGUUAGUAUAUCAAGUAAGAAAUCUAAUGUUUUCAGGCAUACAUUCCCAGAGGUCUAUCAACAUCUUUGGCAAAAUUAUACAUACUUUCUUUCCCUGUUCUCUUCUAAGACUUGCUUCCAUUCUUGUCUCAUGAAACAAAUGUAUUUUUGUUUAUUCACCUGGGUCAGCUUUCUAGAAUGAGAGGCUAGUCCCAUGGACCACUGAGUAUAAAGGAAGUUACCCUGCACUGCCCCAUGACGUGGUUGAUAGGUGUGUUUAGGAAUGCAAAGCUUUCUGGGGUAUCUUGGGAUGGAUUUUUGAAUUCCAGGUUUCCAUGACGUAUAUAAAAUUGGGUACAUAGCAUACAAAGAUUAUACUGUCGUCCCCAUAAGAGAUUAAGAGCUUUAUAAUCUAUACAUCUUAGAUAGAUUUCAGCAAACUGUAAGUAGCUCAUUUUACCCCCUUUGUUCUUGGCAACUUGUUCCUAUCUAUAAUCUUAUUCCUUCACAUCUGACCACCAAGGCAUGAAGUGUCAACCCACUCAUAUCGCCCCCUGCAAAAUCCUCUAAAGAUGUCCAUUUCCUUUAGAAACAAAUCCAUGGGUAAGAGGGGAAAGUCUAGUGACCAUUCUCUUAGCCCAGGGUGCCACACAUGGGAUUUUGGGCUAAGUCCAUACCAAAUAUUAAUUUUACAAUUUUUUAAUUUCUCAAGAUGCAAAUAAUGUGAUUAUUAUUAAUAGGAUGUAAAAUCUUUGAAGAACAUAAGCAUUAAGAAAAAAGGACUUCUCUUUAAAGAAACAAUCGAAGAUAUUCCUCAAAAGACAGAAACUUUUAAAAUUAGAAAUUGAAUAAUUUUUAAGAUUCUUUGGAGAAAAUAUGUCAUUGAUUCAUCAUAGUCUUUUCCUUCUCAUUGAGUUUUAAUUUAGACUAGCAUGGGAAGCAGAGUGCCCCUGGACUUUGAUUUAGGGGAUCGUGCUUUGGCCUGGAAAGUCAGUACUGGCCUGCAUGCCCAGAACCCAAAUGAAGUCAGUCAGUGUCCUAAUGAGAAUCAGGCCUAACAGAAAUGUAAAUUAUUUCAAGACCUUUAGGGUUUAAUUUUCUUAGCAACACCCUUGACCCUGUUUCCUAAAAUUAAUUUGAUCCAUGCAGUUAUGUGUCUUCAUUUGGUGUUAUAAGAUUGCAAGCAAUGGGAUGAUGGAGAAAAAUAGACAGUAGAAAAGGAAAAUUUGAACAAGGCCAGGGUGUAAUGUUUUGCUGAUAUAAUGCAUUGUUAGGGAGCUGGUGACUGUUGCCAUGGUUGUAUCAUGGGCAGCCUUUCAACAGAAGCUCAGGGCAUAUGUAUGAGGGCAGUGGGAGUGCCCAGUAUCUCCUAUUGGUCCAUGCUUGACAGUGUGCUGGAAAAGCAGAUACAUACCAGUGGACUGGCCUGUGCUUGCUGAAAUAACUGCAUUGAAUUUCAGAUUAAUUUCCAUGGGAUCAGUUAUCCAUGAACCUUCCUGUUUCCUCACUGCCUGUUUAAAAUUCAUUUUGGCAUCAAGCUUCAUUUCAUUUUUCUCCUUUCAGUACUUCUGCAUUGUGUCCCCUUCCUUCACAUCCUACAGUGACAUUUGCCUCGCUUUACUGUUUCUCCAGGACCCAGCUUUCUGUCCCUCUUUCCCCCACAGACACCUGAAGUGCCCCUGAGCCCUCACUUCAUCGCCCCACACCCAUGCUCCAUCCCCCAGCCCUGUGGACAGGGAGCUCGGCUGUCACCAAGAGAGACACAGCCUUGUGACUGCUUCUUGUUAAUGUCAGCACCACCUCAUCACUUAAGCAAAGAGGGAAAAAUCCAUAAAAGAGAUGGAAAAUACAAUUCUUUUUUUAUUAUUAUUCUACUUUAUUUUAAGAGGCUUGAGAAGAGGGGUGGUUCCAGUCCUUCUCAGUUUCCCAGAGUUUUACUUUACAACUGUCUAAGGAAGGACCAUUCUUUUGAUAAAUGUAUAAAUCAGCCCAGGUCACCAGCUAUGAUGCAUAAGACUCCAGUGUUGAAUCUCUGUGCUGCUGGACAAAGUGACUAAAUUCUGUGCAAAUAUUUUGAAUCAUAGGCUUUUUAUUGCCCCUCAGUUCUUACUACUACUCAUGAUUCAAACAUCUUCACGAAGCUGGGUCAGGAUGUUGACAAUUUGUGGUUAUUUUCAGAUCAACAGUAACUUACCCUCUUGAAAGCACUUAAAAAGAAAGUUAAGCGUAUCUUAAAUAUUCAACCAUUUGACCUGGAGAAAAGUUGGCUUUUCUGUUUAAUUAUUAGACCAAUCUGUAGAUGUAAUCUUAAAGGGUUUUUUAUGCAAUAAUGAAGACAGUUUGAGAAAUGAGAAGGCACUUUAAAGACGUGAAACCUUGUAUUAUACACUCGUGGAUAUUUUUUAAUAAGCUAAUUGGAUUCAGGUAUUUUUUUCCCUUUAAAUUUUUAAAAAUAUGUAUUUCUAAUUUUUUUGCAUAUUUAAUUUUGUCAAAACUGAGAAAUGCUCGCUAGUUGAACUUGUAAAUGUUAUUUGCAAACCAAAUAAAGUAUUUAUUUUUAAAAAGAAAAGGUGAAGGAAUCAAUACGGAUUUGUACAUAAUGAAUAUAUGUGUGUGUGUGUGUGUGUAUGUUUUUCCUUCCUGACACUACUUGGUCCUCACAUCAAUUGUAUUUUUGUACAUAGUGUAUAUAUAUUUGUUAGAAAAUGUAGAUUGUCUGUUCAAAGACUUCUGUCUCUGAUAGAUUAUAUUUAUCCUACUGUUGAUACCUCUCUUAAUUUGUUUUAAGAGAUAGAAUUCUAUUUUUUUGGAACUUGCAGAGAACUGCAUUCAUG
Molecule: long non-coding RNA, 6676 nt
Organism: Bos taurus (domestic cattle)
Lineage: Eukaryota; Metazoa; Chordata; Mammalia; Artiodactyla; Bovidae
Source: Ensembl